CCCCUGGUGGUCCAGUGGUUAGGACUCCAUACUUACACUGUCCAGGGCCCAGGUUCAAUCCCUGAUUGGGGGA
This 73-nucleotide transfer RNA is filed under the name Ovis aries (sheep). It matches the Rfam family "tRNA". Rfam says of the family: Transfer RNA (tRNA) molecules are approximately 80 nucleotides in length. Their secondary structure includes four short double-helical elements and three loops (D, anti-codon, and T loops). The record is from Rfam by way of RNAcentral. Lineage: Eukaryota; Metazoa; Chordata; Mammalia; Artiodactyla; Bovidae.